RNAcentral lists this non-coding RNA (209 nucleotides) under Shinella sp. The record is from RNAcentral. Lineage: Bacteria; Pseudomonadati; Pseudomonadota; Alphaproteobacteria; Hyphomicrobiales; Rhizobiaceae.
AGGUUCCGCGCUGGAAACGGCUCCGCCGCAAGGCGGAUUAAAAGGGAACACGGUGAAGCCGGUUUGAGGCUGAAGCCGGGACUGCCCCCGCAACUGUAACCGUCGAGUCUUCUUCCAAUUGCCACUGGGACGCGUCCUGCGCAGCCGGGAAGGCGGAAGAGAGACGAAGAAACGGAAGUCAGGAGACCUGCCCUUUCCAGUCACCCAUG